Long non-coding RNA from Lacerta agilis (Sand lizard), 588 nucleotides. RefSeq lists it as uncharacterized. NCBI's taxonomy places the organism in Eukaryota, Metazoa, Chordata, Lepidosauria, Squamata, Lacertidae. The record is from RefSeq and is a predicted model, not a curated record. The transcript is spliced from 2 exons.
UAAAAGGUCCCUUUGUCUCAAGCAACUUCAUUCACUCGACAAAGCUUGACUUGACCAACGCUUGACUCAGUGAACAACAGGGUUAUCCAAUCCACAGAAAAGAUGAGUCAGCAACAACAAAGUGGAAGCUGCUGCUGUUGUGGUGGUAGAGGCUGUGGUUGCUGUGGUGGCAGCCGCAGUGGCGGGGGAUGCUGUGGUGGCAGCCGUGGUGUGGUUUCCUCUCAGCAGAGUCAGAGCAGCGGCGGAUGUUGCGGCGGCCGUAGUGGUGGCGGAUGUGGCGGCAGCAGCAGAGGUGGUGGGUGCUGUGGCGGUAGCAGCAGCGGCGGCGGUGGCUGCUGUGGUGGCAGCAGUGGCGGCGGAUGUUGUGGUGGACAACAAAGUCAACAGAAAGUCUACCCCCAGAAGCUGAAGUAGAUGCCUUCAAGGAUGGUUGAAAUACUCAAUUAUUAUAAUCACUUCUUAUAUAUUCCCCUUCCUUCAUGCAAACUGUAGUUUGGCUGAAAUCAUGAGCUUUCCCCAAUGUGAAUGAUGUAAAUAUUCAGACUUUCUUCUUGAAAACCCAUUAAAAGUUUCUUGCAAACCAAGAAA